GAUGAACGCUAGCGGCAUGCUUAACACAUGCAAGUCGGACGGGAAGUGGUGGUUCCAGUGGCGUGCGGGUGAGUAACGCGUGAGAACCUGCCCUUGGGAGGGGAACAACAACUGGAAACGGUUGCUAAUACCCCGGAGGCUGAGGAGCAAAAGGAGGAAUCCGCCCGAGGGGGGGCUCGCGUCUGAUUAGCUAGGUGGUGAGGCAAUAGCUUACCAAGGCGAUGGUCAGUAGCUGGUCCGAGAGGAUGAUCAGCCACACUGGGACUGAGACACGGACCAGACUCCUACGGGAAGCAGCAGUGGGGAAUGUUCCGCAAUGGGCGAAAGCCUGACGGAGCAAUGCCGCGGGGAGGUAGAAGGCCCACGGGUCAUGAACUUCUUUUCUCAGAGAAGAAGCAAUGACGGUAACUGAUGAAUAAGCAUCGGCUAACUCUGUG
This 437-nucleotide ribosomal RNA is filed under the name uncultured bacterium. RNAcentral's name for it is "partial 16S ribosomal RNA". It matches the Rfam family "Bacterial small subunit ribosomal RNA", at positions 28 to 507 of the family's 1533-position model. The record is from RNAcentral.